Long non-coding RNA from Cydia splendana, 745 nucleotides. RefSeq lists it as uncharacterized. NCBI's taxonomy places the organism in Eukaryota, Metazoa, Arthropoda, Insecta, Lepidoptera, Tortricidae. The transcript has 2 exons. The record is from RefSeq and is a predicted model, not a curated record.
CAGUUACAAAUAAAAAUCCUCGUCUCGUUUGAGCGCAGAUAACGCGAGAAGCGACAUGAUAUGAUUGAUUACCUACUUUAACCUCGUAAGACCCAGUAUAUAAAGUUUUCAUAUUUUUAAUUUGAACCUUAUUCUAUAAGUAAAUUGGGACGAAUUUCAUUUGUUUUAAAAAGCAAUGAAACAAAAGAAAUGCUACUUUAUUUGAUUCAUGAAAGGUUCAAAUUAGAUUGCACGAUUAUGUACAUUUAGUCUCAGGAGGAUAAACCACACAAAAGCGUGUCAUACGAGCUGAAUCACGGGCGCAGACGUUUGUACCGAUAUCUAGUGUUUUGUAUUGCAACAUUAUUAUGAAACAAAUUACAAUCAUCUUGCUCCUUGCGUUUGUGUCGUCAUGCGUGGCGAGAGAUCUGGUCAUCGGCAGCAGUUAUGGCGCGCACCUGGCCUGGCGCACCAAAGUCAACGCCAUGGCGUUUCCGUUUAAAAAAAGAGUGAGAGAAGUGUUUUAUUGGAACCCUGAACAAAUACCUAUUCGAGGCAUAAUAGCGAGAGACUUGGACCGAACGAUGGGCGCGUUGGAAAGCAUCACGGCCGGUGGGACAGGCCUCCCCUACGUCAAUAUCCGUCUAAAAAGCGCCCGAGGAAAAGGGCUGAAUUAUCAGGUCGAAAUUUAUAUUUGAAGUAUGAGGGAUAUCAUUUAUUUUGUGUCUGUAGGUACGAGGAAGUAAGCAAUUAUUUUUACAAUGUU